UGGGGGGGAGGUUUGCAGCGU
This 21-nucleotide unclassified non-coding RNA is filed under the name Chlamydomonas reinhardtii. RNAcentral's name for it is "small RNA Cre_3394". The record is from RNAcentral. Lineage: Eukaryota; Viridiplantae; Chlorophyta; Chlorophyceae; Chlamydomonadales; Chlamydomonadaceae.